CCCUUAGAUGUCCUGGGCCGCACGCGCGCUACACUGAUGCAUGCAACGAGUUUAUAACCUUGGCCUGAAAGGUCUGGGUAAUCUUUUGAACGUGCAUCGUGAUAGGGAUAGAUUAUUGCAAUUGUUAAUCUUGAACGAGGAAUUCCUAGUAAACGCGAGUCAUCAGCUCGCAUUGAUCACGUCCCUGCCCUUUGUACACACCGCCCGUCGCACCUACCGAUUGAAUGGUUCGGUGAAGAUCUCGGACUUCGAUAUUUAUUCUUUAUUGAGUUUAUAUUGUGGGAAGUUAUCUAAACCUCAUCAUUUAGAGGAAGGUGAAGUCGUAACA
RNAcentral lists this ribosomal RNA (328 nucleotides) under uncultured eukaryote. RNAcentral's name for it is "partial 18S ribosomal RNA". It matches the Rfam family "Eukaryotic small subunit ribosomal RNA", at positions 1470 to 1796 of the family's 1831-position model. The record is from RNAcentral.